Molecule: ribosomal RNA, 501 nt
Filed under: uncultured bacterium
Lineage: Bacteria
Description: partial 16S ribosomal RNA
Rfam family: Bacterial small subunit ribosomal RNA
Source: RNAcentral
AUUGAACGCUGGCGGCAGGCUUAACACAUGCAAGUCGAGCGGGGGAAGGUAGCUUGCUACCGGACCUAGCGGCGGACGGGUGAGUAAUGCUUAGGAAUCUGCCUAUUAGUGGGGGACAACAUCUCGAAAGGGAUGCUAAUACCGCAUACGUCCUACGGGAGAAAGCAGGGGAUCUUCGGACCUUGCGCUUAUAGAUGAGCCUAGGUCGGAUUAGCUAGUUGGUGGGGUAAAGGCCUACCAAGGCGACGAUCUGUAGCGGGUCUGAGAGGAUGAUCCGCCACACUGGGACUGAGACACGGCCCAGACUCCUACGGGAGGCAGCAGUGGGGAAUAUUGGACAAUGGGGGGAACCCUGAUCCGGCCAUGCCGCGUGUGUGAAGAAGGCCUUAUGGUUGUAAAGCACUUUAAGCGAGGAGGAGGCUACUCUAGUUAAUACCUAGGGAUAGUGGACGUUACUCGCAGAAUAAGCACCGGCUAACUCUGUGCCAGCCGCCGCCGUAA